RNAcentral lists this ribosomal RNA (455 nucleotides) under Pectobacterium carotovorum subsp. carotovorum. RNAcentral describes it as "bacterial SSU rRNA". It matches the Rfam family "Bacterial small subunit ribosomal RNA", at positions 1 to 452 of the family's 1533-position model. Lineage: Bacteria; Pseudomonadati; Pseudomonadota; Gammaproteobacteria; Enterobacterales; Pectobacteriaceae. The record is from RNAcentral.
AAAUUGAAGAGUUUGAUCAUGGCUCAGAUUGAACGCUGGCGGCAGGCCUAACACAUGCAAGUCGAGCGGUAGCACGGGGGAGCUUGCUCUCUGGGUGACGAGCGGCGGACGGGUGAGUAAUGUCUGGGAAACUGCCUGAUGGAGGGGGAUAACUACUGGAAACGGUAGCUAAUACCGCAUAACCUCACAAGAGCAAAGAGGGGGACCUUAGGGCCUCUCGCCAUCAGAUGUGCCCAGAUGGGAUUAGCUAGUAGGUGAGGUAAUGGCUCACCUAGGCGACGAUCCCUAGCUGGUCUGAGAGGAUGACCAGCCACACUGGAACUGAGACACGGUCCAGACUCCUACGGGAGGCAGCAGUGGGGAAUAUUGCACAAUGGGCGCAAGCCUGAUGCAGCCAUGCCGCGUGUGUGAAGAAGGCCUUCGGGUUGUAAAGCACUUUCAGCGGGGAGGAAGGC